GCGGGAUUCUGUAACCAGUGUCUAGUGUCUAUUUGAGACAUUUUGAGGUAAAAUCUCAAUUUGUGACUAGUUAUUAUUCACUAAACAGUCUCUAGCGUUAGUCUCAAAAUGUUGCCUCAAAUUUGAGACCUGGUAGUUAGCAGGUCACAAAACUAAAAAGAACUCUUGUCUGCCAUUUUGAAUAUACUGAAUAGAGAUCAUCAUCAAGAAUGAUGGAAAGAAGAUUGCGCAAUGCGCAUGUUUGUUUUCAGUCAGCUGUUCUUGCUGACGUCACGGUUGACUUAUUAUUCGCCCGAGCUUUUGAAAGUGAAUUCGAUUGUGUUUUCAAGUGUUGUAUUAAUUGUGAAAUUUUUUAUUUUUUAAAAUGCGUUGCGCAGUGUUCGGGUGUAAUAUUAAUAAUGGUAAAAAUUGUGCUACGAAUUGGAGAUUUUUUCAUUUCCCUAAAGAUAAAGCAGUACUAAAAUAAUGGAUUAAUUUUUGUCGUCGCACGGACAAAAUUAAUGUUAAAAAUGCAUGCAUUUGUGAAGUGCACUUCGCGCCAGAAGCCUUCGAAAGAAACUUGCAGUUUGAAAUGGUUCGCGGAAUCCAAUUAAGUUGCUACCUAGGGCUUUUCCCACGUUAACCACUGCUCCUGCAGAGGCUAAUGAACGGCAAAAAAGAAUGGAGUCUCGUUUCAAAAAAGAGAUGUUAACGACAAUUUUGAAGAAUACCGCCCCUGUUGAAGUAAUUCAAGAAAACGAGGUUGGAGAGGUACUUCAAACUGCAGGAGAGGAGGUCAUCGAUGAGAAAGACGAGAAAAUACUGCAUUUGGAAACAGAAAUACAAAGGCUGAAUAGUGUUGAUAGCACUUUGGUAAGUGCAAAAACGAGCAGUUAGCAGAAGUUGAACUCCUUAGGAUUUCUAUUAAAACCUCGGAAUUCCACAGUAAUAAUUUGGAGCAAAAACUUAGCUGCAUUUUCACCAACGGCCAGGUAAGUGCCC
Molecule: long non-coding RNA, 981 nt
Organism: Bactrocera neohumeralis
Lineage: Eukaryota; Metazoa; Arthropoda; Insecta; Diptera; Tephritidae
Exons: 3
Source: RefSeq, a predicted model, not a curated record